RNAcentral lists this ribosomal RNA (460 nucleotides) under uncultured bacterium. RNAcentral's name for it is "partial 16S ribosomal RNA". It matches the Rfam family "Bacterial small subunit ribosomal RNA", at positions 338 to 795 of the family's 1533-position model. The record is from RNAcentral.
CCUACGGGUGGCAGCAGUGAGGAAUAUUGGUCAAUGGGCGCGAGCCUGAACCAGCCAAGUAGCGUGUAGGAUGAAUGCCCUCCGGGUGGUAAACUUCUUUUAUAAAGGAAUAAAGUGUGGCACGUGUGACUUUUUGUAUGUACUUUAUGACUAAGGAUCGGCUAACUCCGUGCCAGCUGCCGCGGUACUACGGAGGGUCCGAGCGUUAUCCGGAUUUACUGGGUGUAAAGGGAGCGUAGCAGGGUUGUUAAGUCAGUUGUGAAAGUUCGCGGCUCAACCGUAAAAUUGCACUUGAAACUGGCAGGCUUGAGUACAGUUGAGGUAGGUAGAAUUCGUGGUGUAGCGGUGAAAUGCGUAGAGAUCUCGAAGAAUACCGAUGGCGAAGGCAGCUUACUAAACAGACACUGACAUUGAGGUGCGAAAGUGUGGGUAGCAAACAGGAUUAGAUACCCGAGUAGUC